This 29-nucleotide non-coding RNA is filed under the name Homo sapiens (human). The record is from RNAcentral. Lineage: Eukaryota; Metazoa; Chordata; Mammalia; Primates; Hominidae.
CCUCACCAUUUAUGACGAAGAUGUGUUGG